UAGGGAAUCUUCCACAAUGGGCGCAAGCCUGAUGGAGCAACACCGCGUGAGUGAAGAAGGGUUUCGGCUCGUAAAGCUCUGUUGUUAAAGAAGAACACGUAUGAGAGUAACUGUUCAUACGUUGACGGUAUUUAACCAGAAAGUCACGGCUAACUACGUGCCAGCAGCCGCGGUAAUACGUAGGUGGCAAGCGUUAUCCGGAUUUAUUGGGCGUAAAGAGAGUGCAGGCGGUUUUCUAAGUCUGAUGUGAAAGCCUUCGGCUUAACCGGAGAAGUGCAUCGGAAACUGGAUAACUUGAGUGCAGAAGAGGGUAGUGGAACUCCAUGUGUAGCGGUGGAAUGCGUAGAUAUAUGGAAGAACACCAGUGGCGAAGGCGGCUACCUGGUCUGCAACUGACGCUGAGACUCGAAAGCAUGGGUAGCGAACAGGAUUAGAUACCCUGGUAGUCCAUGCCGUAAACGAUGAGUGCUAGGUGUUGGAGGGUUUCCGCCCUUCAGUGCCGGAGCUAACGCAUUAAGCACUCCGCCUGGGGAGUACGACCGCAAGGNUG
Molecule: ribosomal RNA, 550 nt
Filed under: uncultured bacterium
Lineage: Bacteria
Description: bacterial SSU rRNA
Rfam family: Bacterial small subunit ribosomal RNA
Source: RNAcentral